GUUUGAUCCUGGCUCAGGACGAACGCUGGUGGCGGGCCUAACACAUGCAAGUCGAACGAGGCUUUCCGGUGCUUGCACUGGAAAAUCGAGUGGCGAACGGGUGGGUAAUACAUGAGAAACCUGCCUUGGAGACGGGGACAACCUCGGGAAACUGAGGCUAAUACCCGAUAUCCCUGCCGAGUCGCAUGACUUGGCAAGAAAAUACUCAGGUGCUCCAAGAGGGUCUCAUGCCCUAUCAGCUUGUUGGUGAGGUAAAAGCUCACCAAGGCUUAGACGGGUAGCUGGUCUGAGAGGACGAUCAGCCACACUGGGACUGAGACACGGCCCAGACUCCUACGGGAGGCAGCAGUGGGGAAUCUUGCGCAAUGGGCGAAAGCCUGACGCAGCCACGCCACGUGUGGGACGACGGCCCUCGGGUUGUAAACCACUUUCAGCAGGGACGAAAAUGACGGUACCUGCAGAAGAAGCCCCGGCCAACUACGUGCCAGCAGCCGCGGUAACACGUAGGGGGCGAGCGUUGUCCGGAAUUACUGGGCGUAAAGGGCUCGUAGGCGGUUUGGUAAGUCAGAUGUGAAAACUCCAGGCUCAACUUGGAGACGCCAUCUGAUACUGCCAUGACUAGAGUUUGGUAGAGGAGUGCAGAAUUCCCGGUGUAGCGGUGAAAUGCGCAGAUAUCGGGAGGAAUACCAGUCAGCGAAGGCGGCACUCUNGGCCACAACUGACGCUGAGGAGCGAAAGCGUGGGGAGCGAACAGGAUUAGAUACCCUGGUAGU
This 773-nucleotide ribosomal RNA is filed under the name uncultured bacterium. RNAcentral describes it as "bacterial SSU rRNA". It matches the Rfam family "Bacterial small subunit ribosomal RNA", at positions 11 to 794 of the family's 1533-position model. The record is from RNAcentral.